AUGAACGCUGGCGGCAUGCCUAAUACAUGCAAGUCGAACGGACUUGAGGAGAGCUUGCUUUCCGCAAGUCAGUGGCGAACGGGUGAGUAACACGUAGGCAACCUGCCCAUGUACCCGGGAUAACAGACGGAAACGACUGCUAAAACCGGGAUAGGUAAGAGGGAGGCAUCUUCCGCUUAUCAAAGCACCCAAGGGUGUGGACAUGGAUGGGCCUGCGGCGCAUUAGCCGGUUGGCGGGGUAACGGCCCACCAAAGCAAUGAUGCGUAGCCGACCUGAGAGGGCGAACGGCCACAUUGGGACUGAGACACGGCCCAAACUCCUACGGGAGGCAGCAGUAGGGAAUUUUCGUCAAUGGAGGGAACUCUGAACGAGCAAUGCCGCGUGAGUGAAGAAGGUCUUCGGAUCGUAAGGCUCUGUUGCAAGAGAAAAACGACAAGCACAGGGAAUGGUGAUUGAGUGAUGGUAUCUUGCGAGGAAGCCACGGCUAACUACGUG
Molecule: ribosomal RNA, 496 nt
Filed under: uncultured Bacillota bacterium
Lineage: Bacteria; Bacillati; Bacillota
Description: bacterial SSU rRNA
Rfam family: Bacterial small subunit ribosomal RNA
Source: RNAcentral